Molecule: long non-coding RNA, 1196 nt
Organism: Diorhabda carinulata
Lineage: Eukaryota; Metazoa; Arthropoda; Insecta; Coleoptera; Chrysomelidae
Exons: 4
Source: RefSeq, a predicted model, not a curated record
AUCGAAUUAAAAUUUGUGUCUUUAUGAUUGAAUUUAGUUAAAAUAUACGUACGCCUCAAAUUAAACUAGUGGAGUGUGUCAAUUGGUUAUUACUUUUAAUCGAAAGUUUGAAGAUUCGCUCAAAUUGAGUCGCACCACACGUACCCCAGAAGGGAAGUUGAUAUCAUAAGUUCAAUUCUUUGGAAACUGAUCUCAGCGCAAAACAGGAGGAACUUAAUUUUUUAGACAGGGCUGCAAUAUAUAACGAGAAUUUUACAGCUUGAACGACGUCAAUGUUUUAGGAACGUUGAAGCAGAGAAGAUUAGAAUCGCACCAUGAUUUAAGGGCGAUUAGGUCACUAGAUAUGGUCCUAUGAAGUGCAAUGAGAUCAGGUUUGGCUAUAUUCACAAAGUAAUUAUUAAGUUAUAGAUUUCGGAAAACCAGCCAAACACGCUGGCUUAAGAUGAUGCUUCAUCACCAAAAGCCGAAGCGAGUUGAUCGCCACAAUGCUUUGGUUUAAUCCACGUCGAAAGUAAUAAGACUUCAUCGCACGAAAAUGUUGGGGAUUAAAUUCCAUUUUUUGACGAAAUACGCAAUAUUAUCGAAAUAAUUAAGUGAGUUUCUUACUAUACCAUUCAUUCAUAAAAAACAUAUUAAUUGUCAUUUCCAUAGUUCAUUUGCAUACAACUGUAUAUAAGCAUUUUAACAACACACAACUUCUGUGUGUUAAUAUUCUUUUUCGAUAGGGAAUAAAUCUUAUGGUUUUUGCCCAUUUUAGAAAAUUUUCUGUUAAAAAAUAUAGCAAACCAAAUCAGUCUGUCAUAUUUUCACAAUUUAUCUUAACUAAUAUAAAAAACCGGAAAAAAAUUUAAAUAGUAUUUAUCGAUAUUUCCUAAAUCAAUUUUUUCAUUUAAAAAAUUUAUUUGCGUACCGUAUCUAUAGAUUGUUGUAUCAUGGUGGUCUAGUAUAACGUAAAAAGACCAGCCUGAGCCCCUCGGACCUUAAAGAAUUAUCCGAAGUAGUUACGUACACUAAGUAACAGAAGCGGAAGAGAGAGUUGAAUGAACUUAUCAGAACAGCAGGUUCUUCGAUCGACGACUAUCUAUUUCGACGGAAAAUUAGCAUCGGUAUACUAAUUAUUUUACCGACGCUGCCAAUGUCCAGGGCACCCUUCAGGUUAUUUAACGCUCGAGGCUUUUCAAGCAUAUUAUUUAAUG